GACGAACGCUGGCGGCGUGCUUAACACAUGCAAGUCGAACGGAAAGGCCCUGCUUUUGUGGGGUGCUCGAGUGGCGAACGGGUGAGUAACACGUGAGUAACCUACCCUUGACUUUGGGAUAACUUCAGGAAACUGGGGCUAAUACCGGAUAGGAGCUCCUGCUGCAUGGUGGGGGUUGGAAAGUUUCGGCGGUUGGGGAUGGACUCGCGGCUUAUCAGCUUGUUGGUGGGGUAGUGGCUUACCAAGGCUUUGACGGGUAGCCGGCCUGAGAGGGUGACCGGCCACAUUGGGACUGAGAUACGGCCCAGACUCCUACGGGAGGCAGCAGUGGGGAAUAUUGCACAAUGGGCGGAAGCCUGAUGCAGCAACGCCGCGUGCGGGAUGACGGCCUUCGGGUUGUAAACCGCUUUCGCCUGUGACGAAGCGUGAGGGACGGUAAUGGGUAAAGAAGCACCGGCGAACUACGU
RNAcentral lists this ribosomal RNA (467 nucleotides) under uncultured bacterium. Its description in RNAcentral is "partial 16S ribosomal RNA". It matches the Rfam family "Bacterial small subunit ribosomal RNA", at positions 28 to 506 of the family's 1533-position model. The record is from RNAcentral.